UACGGAGGGUGCUAGCGUUGUUCGGAUAUACUGGGCGUAAAGCGCACGUAGGCGGCGCCGUAAGUCAGGGGUGAAAUCCCGGAGCUCAACUCCGGAACUGCCCUUGAAACUGCAGUGCUAGAAUUCUGGAGAGGCGAGUGGAAUUCCGAGUGUAGAGGUGAAAUUCGUAGAUAUUCGGAAGAACACCAGUGGCGAAGGCGACUCGCUGGACAGACAUUGACGCUGAGGUGCGAAAGCGUGGGGAGCAAACAGG
Molecule: ribosomal RNA, 253 nt
Filed under: uncultured bacterium
Lineage: Bacteria
Description: partial 16S ribosomal RNA
Rfam family: Bacterial small subunit ribosomal RNA
Source: RNAcentral